UACGGGGGGUGCAAGCGUUGUUCGGAAUUAUUGGGCGUAAAGAGCGUGUAGGCGGCUGGAUUAGUCAGAUGUGAAAGCCCUGGGCUUAACCCAGGAAGUGCAUUUGAAACUGUCCGGCUUGAGUAAGGGAGAGGAAAGUGGAAUUCCUGGUGUAGAGGUGAAAUUCGUAGAUAUCAGGAGGAACACCGGUGGCGAAGGCGACUUUCUGGCCCUAUACUGACGCUGAGACGCGAGAGCGUGGGUAGCAAACAGGAUUAGAUACCCUGGUAGUCCACGCGGUAAACGAUGUUCACUAGGUGUUGGGGGUAUUGACCCUCUCAGUGCCGCAGCUAACGCAAUAAGUGAACCGCCUGGGGAGUACGGUCGCAAGAUUA
Molecule: ribosomal RNA, 374 nt
Filed under: uncultured prokaryote
Description: bacterial SSU rRNA
Rfam family: Bacterial small subunit ribosomal RNA
Source: RNAcentral